Molecule: ribosomal RNA, 253 nt
Filed under: uncultured bacterium
Lineage: Bacteria
Description: partial 16S ribosomal RNA
Rfam family: Bacterial small subunit ribosomal RNA
Source: RNAcentral
UACGGAGGGUGCAAACGUUGCUCGGAAUCAUUGGGCGUAAAGCGCACGUAGGCGGUCGAAUAAGUCGGAUGUGAAAGCCCAGGGCUCAACCCUGGAAGUGCAUUCGAAACUGCUCGGCUUGAAUAUGGAAGAGGGUCGCGGAAUUCCCGGUGUAGAGGUGAAAUUCGUAGAUAUCGGGAGGAACACCAGUGGCGAAGGCGGCGACCUGGGCCAAUAUUGACGCUGAGGUGCGAAAGCGUGGGGAGCAAACAGG